RNAcentral lists this ribosomal RNA (441 nucleotides) under uncultured bacterium. RNAcentral's name for it is "partial 16S ribosomal RNA". It matches the Rfam family "Bacterial small subunit ribosomal RNA", at positions 338 to 795 of the family's 1533-position model. The record is from RNAcentral.
CCUACGGGAGACAGCAGUGGGGGAUAUUGCACAAUGGGGGGAACCCUGAUGCAGCGACGCCGCGUGGGUGAAGGAGUGCUUCGGCAUGUAAAGCCCUAUCGGCAGGGAAGAAGCAAGACGGUACCUGACUAAGAAGCCCCGGCUAACUACGUGCCAGCAGCCGCGGUAAUACGUAGGGGGCGAGCGUUAUCCGGAUUCACUGGGUGUAAAGGGAGCGUAGACGGCCAUGCAAGCCAGGGGUGAAAGCCCGGGGCCCAACCCCGGGACUGCCCUUGGAACUGCAUGGCUGGAGGGCGGGAGGGGCAGGCGGAAUUACUGGUGUAGCGGUGAAAUGCGUAGAUAUCAGGAGGAACACCGGCGGCGAAGGCGGCCUGCUGGACCGCGACUGACGUUGAGGCUCGAAAGCGUGGGGAGCGAACAGGAUUAGAUACCCGAGUAGUC